Molecule: non-coding RNA, 156 nt
Organism: Caenorhabditis elegans
Lineage: Eukaryota; Metazoa; Nematoda; Chromadorea; Rhabditida; Rhabditidae
Source: Ensembl
AAGUCAUGAUGAGAAGAAUAAAAAGUCAUGAAGAAAUGACCAAAUCCGUCUAUCGCCCUGAUCGAUAAUUGCGUCGAUUAAUGGAUGUAGAUAAUGUUUGAUAAUUGGUGACGGGAGAAAAGAAACCUGAUCCAGGGAUAGGUCCUAGUUAGCAUA